GUGGGGAAUCUUGCGCAAUGGGCGAAAGCCUGACGCAGCCAUGCCGCGUGAAUGAUGAAGGUCUUAGGAUUGUAAAAUUCUUUCACCGGGGACGAUAAUGACGGUACCCGGAGAAGAAGCUCCGGCUAACUUCGUGCCAGCAGCCGCGGUAAUACGAAGGGGGCUAGCGUUGCUCGGAAUUACUGGGCGUAAAGGGCGCGUAGGCGGACAGCUUAGUCAGAGGUGAAAGCCCAGGGCUCAACCUUGGAAUUGCCUUGGAUACUGGCUGUCUUGAGUUUGGGAGAGGUGAGUGGAACUCCGAGUGUAGAGGUGAAAUUCGUAGAUAUUCGGAAGAACACCAGUGGCGAAGGCGACUCACUGGCCCAAUACUGACGCUGAGGCGCGAAAGCGUGGGGAGCAAACAGGAUUAGAUACCCUGGUAGUCC
Molecule: ribosomal RNA, 425 nt
Filed under: uncultured bacterium
Lineage: Bacteria
Description: partial 16S ribosomal RNA
Rfam family: Bacterial small subunit ribosomal RNA
Source: RNAcentral